UGGAAUUCGGCAAUGGGGGGAACCCUGAAUUCAACCCGCCGCGAGAGAGAAGAAGGUUUUCGUUUCGUAAAGCUCUGUUGUAAGAGAAGAACGUGUGUGAGAGUGGAAAGUUCACACAGUGACGGUAACUUACCAGAAAGGGACGGCUAACUACGUGCCAGCAGCCGCGGUAAUAAA
Molecule: ribosomal RNA, 177 nt
Filed under: uncultured bacterium
Lineage: Bacteria
Description: partial 16S ribosomal RNA
Rfam family: Bacterial small subunit ribosomal RNA
Source: RNAcentral